UUACGGAUGCUGCUUCGCGCACACUCAUAUACAUGCUUCCCCCACUCUUAGCAGUAUACUCCCACCCUUUUAUUUAUCUUCCUCGGUUCGACGUCGCCCCUCCAUCAUCCUCUCUCCAGUCUUUCACGAGCAGUGCUCCGAGUCAUAUCGUUGACAGUGUUCGCCGUAGCAUACUAUCUUUCUCUCGUCACCUUUCUUUUUUCUUAUAUAUAUAUAUUUUUUUUUUUUAUUUUAGUCAUUCAAUAAACUUUUUUUGACAUUUGUCAAAAACAUCUUAUUACAACAAAUGCGUCAUAUUAUAUCGUGAAAGAGAAAAGUGUUUUUCAUCGUCUCCUUUCAACGAUGGAAUAUAUAAAUCCAUCGCAAUCGUCGAACGAUAGUUACAACUAGUGUUAUUUUGUUCUCCUGUGGAGUUUUAUUGUGAAUUAUUGAAUAAUGUCGUGUCGCGAGAUUUAAUAUAUGAUUUCUCUUUUUUUGGUGCGAUAAUAUGUCGAGGGUCGUACGAUGACCUAACGUCCGUCCAGCGACAGCCUCUUCGUAUCGGUCAUUGGACAGAUGUUGAAUCUGAAUGCUCAAAACUUGGUUUGCAACAUUGGCAGCAUGGUUUUCGGCAGCAAUAAAUUUCGAAUACGAAGAAAAGAGUCUGCCUGUUGUUUUUAAAUACACCGACGAGCGAAGGUUAUGACAGCGAUAAAUUUCGAAUACAAAUGUAUGUACGUACUAAGAUUUCUAUGAUCGUUGCAACUUGGAUAUGAAUAUUAAUUAUGAGUUUGUUAUGUGGUUUUAAAUAAACGACCUGUGGAUUAAAUUUAGUAAUAAUUAAAUUUUAUAUUUAUUAUGAGGUUGUCGCCAUGAUGUUUUCAGUAAAAAAAAAAAAAAAAGAAGAAGAUCAAUAAAAGCGUAAUAUACUCGUUAGAGAAAAAGAAAGAAAAUAUUUUGCAAAAAAUAUUUUUUUACUUUUAUCAAAAGUAUUGCGAAAACGUAUUUUAUGGUUUUUUUUUUUUUUUUUUUUUUUUUUUUUAUUGGUACGAAAGAAGUAAUGAUGUAAUACCGACAAAUCCAUUAUUCAUAAGUGCGUUCGACGGGUAAUUUACUAUAUAUCUCGAAGGUAUUAUCCUUAUCACGAACGAUUUCGUUAGGUUUGUGGUAGUGCACGUAAGCGGGUUUCAGGUUUCAAGCACUUGCUUGGCUUUGGCGUCGUGCCUAAUCGAUACUGUCCGAUUUCCCCUUGACGACCAUCCACCGUAACAGUCGAAAAUUUUACAGUCCAGUUCUAUCGAUUCCGAGACUCGUUGUUUUUCGCAUAAAAUCUUUUAACUUUGUACUUGAAUCGAUCGGAGGUCAACGAUCUCCCUGUCUUAAUUCAAUAAUAAUAUCUAAAGGAAAGAUUAUUUAUGAUCAUCGACAAUCGUCAUUUUUUACAUGUUCCAACAUGUGUAGUUACCUGGUUUAUAAAAUAUUUACAGAUAAACUAAGGAAUAUCCUGUUAUCGCAAGAGCAUCGCUCGAAAGAAUAUUUAUUGGAGAAUGUUUGUUUCUUUGUUUACACAAAAUAAACAGAUAAUUUUCGAUAUUAUCGGCUUAUCGGAAUCCAAUCGAUAAGCAAAAAUACUCUAGACGAUCGCUUGAGUAAGUUUCCAAUACACGUGAUUUUCUUUAAGUUUCAUUGAAAAAGAAGAGAAAAAAGAAAAAAGAAAAAGGAACAAAGAACAAUCUUGUAUGCUUUUAAGAAUUCUUUAUUUCUUCCAUUAACACAUAUACAUUAACACACCCAUGAACGAUAUAAAACACGUGUCGGUUUACCCGAUCUAAGAACUAACCGAGCGAGCAAAGCCUGGGAACUAUUCGCUCGACACGACCGCAAGAAA
This is a long non-coding RNA of Vespa mandarinia (Asian giant hornet), 1867 nucleotides long. The record is from RefSeq and is a predicted model, not a curated record. NCBI's taxonomy places the organism in Eukaryota, Metazoa, Arthropoda, Insecta, Hymenoptera, Vespidae.